CCUACGGGAGGCAGCAGUGGGGAAUAUUGGACAAUGGGGGCAACCCUGAUCCAGCAAUGCCGCGUGUGUGAAGAAGGCCUGCGGGUUGUAAAGCACUUUGAGUAGGAAAGAAGGUCUGAGGGCUAAUAUCCCUUGGAAUUGACGUUACCUACAGAACAAGCACCGGCUAACUCCGUGCCAGCAGCCGCGGUAAUACGGAGGGUGCGAGCGUUAAUCGGAAUUACUGGGCGUAAAGCGCGCGUAGGCGGUUUGUUAAGUUUGAUGUGAAAGCCCUGGGCUUAACCUGGGAACUGCAUUGGAGACUGGCAGGCUAGAGUGUGGUAGAGGGGUGUGGAAUUUCCGGUGUAGCAGUGAAAUGCGUAGAGAUCGGAAGGAACACCAGUGGCGAAGGCGGCACCCUGGACCAACACUGACGCUGAGGUGCGAAAGCGUGGGGAGCAAACAGGAUUAGAUACCCUUGUAGUC
Molecule: ribosomal RNA, 465 nt
Filed under: uncultured bacterium
Lineage: Bacteria
Description: bacterial SSU rRNA
Rfam family: Bacterial small subunit ribosomal RNA
Source: RNAcentral